AUUGAACGCUGGCGGAAUGCUUUACACAUGCAAGUCGAGCGGCAGCGCGGGGGCAACCCUGGCGGCGAGCGGCGAACGGGUGAGUAAUACAUCGGAACAUGUCCAGUCGUGGGGGAUAACCUGGCGAAAGCCCGGCCAAUACCGCAUGAGCUCUGGCGAGGAACGCGGGGGACCGUAAGGCCCCGCGCGACUUGGUUCGCCGAUGUCCGAUUAGCGAGUUGGUGAGGUAAAGGCUCACCAAGGCGAUGAUCGGUAGCUGGUCUGAGGGGAUGAUCAGCCACACUGGGACUGAGACACGGCCCAGACUCCUACGGGAGGCAGCAGUGGGGAAUUUUGGGCAAUGGGGGCAACCCUGAUCCAGCCAUUCCGCGUGAGUGAAGAAGGCCUUCGGGUUGUAAAGCUCUUUUGUCCGGAGCGAAACGGUGCUGUGAAUAUCCAGCGCUACUGACGGUACCGGAAGAAUAAGCACCGGCUAACUACGUGCCAGCAGCCGCGGUAA
This 499-nucleotide ribosomal RNA is filed under the name uncultured bacterium. RNAcentral's name for it is "partial 16S ribosomal RNA". It matches the Rfam family "Bacterial small subunit ribosomal RNA", at positions 28 to 523 of the family's 1533-position model. The record is from RNAcentral.